Molecule: ribosomal RNA, 496 nt
Filed under: uncultured bacterium
Lineage: Bacteria
Description: partial 16S ribosomal RNA
Rfam family: Bacterial small subunit ribosomal RNA
Source: RNAcentral
GAUGAACGCUGGCGGCGUGCCUAAUACAUGCAAGUCGAGCGAACAGAUGAGGAGCUUGCUCCUCUGACGUUAGCGGCGGACGGGUGAGUAACACGUGGAUAACCUACCUAUAAGACUGGGAUAACUUCGGGAAACCGGAGCUAAUACCGGAUAAUAUAUUGAACCGCAUGGUUCAAUAGUGAAAGACGGUUUUGCUGUCACUUAUAGAUGGAUCCGCGCCGUGUUAGCUAGUUGGUAAGGUAACGGCUUACCAAGGCAACGAUGCGUAGCCGACCUGAGGGGGUGAUCGCCCACACUGGACGUGAGCCACGGUCCAGACUCCGACGGGAGGCAGCAGUAGGGAAGCGUCCGCAAUGUGCGAAAGCCUGCCGGAGCAACGCCGCGUGGGUGAUGAAGCGCUGCGGAUCGUAAAACGCUGUUAUUAGGGAAGAACAAAUGUGUAAGUAACUAUGCACGUCUGGACGGUACCGAAACAGAAAGCCACGGCUAACUACGU